This 2102-nucleotide ribosomal RNA is filed under the name Escherichia sp. RNAcentral's name for it is "partial 23S ribosomal RNA". It matches the Rfam family "Bacterial large subunit ribosomal RNA", at positions 808 to 2925 of the family's 2925-position model. Lineage: Bacteria; Pseudomonadati; Pseudomonadota; Gammaproteobacteria; Enterobacterales; Enterobacteriaceae. The record is from RNAcentral.
GCUGUGGGUAGGGGUGAAAGGCCAAUCAAACUGGGAAAUAGCUCGUACUCCCCGAAAUGCAUUUCGGUGCAGCGUCGGAGUGAGUUUUACAUAGGUAGAGCUACUGAUUGAAUGCGGGGGCUUCACCGCCUACCAAUUUCAGACAAACUCCGAAUGGUGUAAAACAUCUCCGGCAGUGAGGGCAUGGGUGCUAAGGUCCGUGCCCGAGAGGGAAACAACCCAGACUAUCAGCUAAGGUCCUUAAAUGUAUGCUAAGUUGCAAAAACGAAGUAGGACUGCACAGACAGCCAGGAAGUUGGCUUGGAAGCAGCCAUUCUUUUAAAGAGUGCGUAACAGCGCACUUGUCGAGCGGUUCGGCAUGGAGGAUAAGCGGGCAUAAGCAUACUACCGAAGCUAUAGCAAAGUAAUUUGGGUAGGGGAGCAUUGCGUAUGCGGCGAAGCGGACUUGUAAAGGUUCGUGGAGCGUACGGAAAAGCAAAUGUAGGAAUAAGUAACGAGAAAGCGGGCGAGAAACCCGCUCACCGAAAAACCAAGGGUUCCCCGGCUAUGUUAAUCAGCCGGGGGUCAGUCGGGACCUAAGGCUAACCCGAAGACAGGAGAAGCCGAUGGACAAACGUUUAAUAUUACGUUACUGGAAUAGAGUGCGACGGGGCGACCCGGUACUACCUCUCCGCGCGCAGACGGAAUAGCGCGUUAAAGGUCAAAGCGGGCCGUGCGGCAAAUCCCACGGCGGAAAGUGAUGACCGACAGUACGCGGCGGCUUCGGCCAAAGCGAUAGCGAGACGAAAAGCCGGCAAGAAAAACCUCUAAGCUACAGCUUUAUUCCACCCGUACCGUAAACCGACACAAGUGGGUGGGAAGAGAAUUCUAAGGGGCUCGAGAGAAUCAUGGCUAAGGAACUAGGCAAAAUAGACCUGUAACUUCGGGAAAAAGGUCACCGCAGCGAUGCGGUCUCAGGAAAAAGGUCCAGGCGACUGUUUAAAAAAAACACAGGACUUUGCUAAAUCGAAAGAUGAUGUAUAAGGUCUGACACCUGCCCGGUGAUGGAAGGUUAAGAGGAGAUGUAAAUCGCAAGAGGCAGCAUUGAAUUGAAGCCCCAGUAAACGGCGGCCGUAACUAUAACGGUCCUAAGGUAGCGAAAUUCCUUGUCAGGUAAGUUCUGACCCGCACGAAUGGCGUAACGAUUUGGGCACUGUCUCAACAGCCCACCCGGCGAAAUUGUUGUACUGGUGAAGAAGCCAGUUACCCGCAACUAGACGGAAAGACCCCAUGGAGCUUUACUGUAGCUUAAUACUGGAAAUCGGUAAAUCAUGUACAGGAUAGGUGGGAGACUUGGAAGCCAGGGCGUCAGCUUUGGUGGAGUCACCCUUGGGAUACCACCCUUGAUUUGCUGGUUUUCUAACCUGCGGCCGUGAAUCCGGUCGGGGGACACUGUUAGGUGGGCAGUUUGACUGGGGCGGUCGCCUCCUAAAAGGUAACGGAGGCGCUCAAAGGUUCGUUCAGCACGGACGGAAACCGUGCAGUGAGUGUAAACGCAUAAACGAGCCUAACUGCGAGACCGACGGGUCGAGCAGUAACGAAAGUUGGAGUUAGUGAUCCGGCGGUAUGCAAGUGGAAGUGCCGUCGCUCAACGGAUAAAAGCUACCCUGGGGAUAACAGGCUGAUCUCCCCCAAGCGUCCACAGCGACGGGGAGGUUUGGCACCUCGAUGUCGGCUCGUCACAUCCUGGGGCUGAAUUCGGUCCCAAGGGUUCGGCUGUUCGCCGAUUAAAGUGGCACGCGAGCUGGGUUCAGAACGUCGUGAGACAGUUCGGUCCCUAUCUGUUGCGGGCGUAAGAGAUUUGAAGGGAGCUGUCCUUAGUACGAGAGGACCGGGAUGGACUGACCUCUGGUGUACCGGUUGAACCGCCAGGUUCACGGCCGGGUAGCCAAGUCGGGAAGGGAUAAACGCUGAAGGCAUCUAAGCGUGAAGCCCCCCUCAAGAUGAGAUAUCCCAUUCGAAAGAAGUAAGACCCCUUGAAGACGACGAGGUAGAUAGGUCAGAGGUGGAAGUACAGUAAUGUAUGGAGCUGACUGAUACUAAUCGGUCGAGGGCAUGACCAA